RNAcentral lists this ribosomal RNA (893 nucleotides) under Chattonella subsalsa. RNAcentral's name for it is "partial Bacterial small subunit ribosomal RNA". It matches the Rfam family "Bacterial small subunit ribosomal RNA", at positions 1 to 932 of the family's 1533-position model. Lineage: Eukaryota; Raphidophyceae; Chattonellales; Chattonellaceae. The record is from RNAcentral.
UGAAGAGUUUGAUCCUGGCUCAGCCUGAACGCUGGCGGCAUGGCUAAAACAUGCAAGUCGAGGGAGAAGGAGACUUCGGUCUCCGGAUACCGGCGAAAGGGCGAGUAAUGCGAUCGAACGUGCCCCGAGGUAGAGGAUAGCUGUGGGAAACUGCAGGUAAUACUCUAUAAGUUCCAAGGAAGAAAGCUCCGGCGCCUUGGGAGCGGCGAUCGUCCUAUCAGGUAGUUGGUGGGGUAAAGGCCUACCAAGCCGAAGACGGGUAGCGGGUGUGAGAGCAUGGCCCGCCGCAUCGGAACUGAGACACUGUCCGGACUCCUACGGGAGGCUGCAGUAACGAAUCUUCCGCAAUGCGCGAAAGCGUGACGGAGCAAUGCCGCGUGUGGGAUGAAGCGGUUACGCCGUGUAAACCACUGUCAGGACUUAGGAAGAACUGACCGAGUCCAAAGGAAGGGCCGGCUAAUCUCGUGCCAGCAGCCGCGGUAAUACGAGAGGCCCGAGCGUUAGGCGGAAUCACUGGGCUUAAAGGGUGCGUAGGCGGAUCAGUAAGCAUUUUGUGAAAUCCCUCGGCUCAACCGAGGAAUUGCAGAGUGAACUACUGAUCUUGAGGUAGGCAGAGGUCAUCGGAACGUACGGUGGAGCGGUGAAAUGCGUAGAUAUCGUACGGAACGCCGAAGGGGUAGCCAGGUGACUGGGCCUUACCUGACGCUGAGGCACGAAAGCGUGGGGAUCAAACAGGAUUAGAUACCCUGGUAGUCCACGCCGUAAACGAUGUGCACUAGUUUGGUGGAGAUCUGACUCUCUGCCAGACGCCGAGAAAUCAUUAAGUGCACCGCCUGGGGAGUACGGUCGCAAGGCUAAAACUCAAAGGAAUUGACGGGGGCUCACACAAGCGG